GGGUGAUCUCGGGUGACACACCCCGGAAUCGGGCUCCCUCCUCUCUGGUUCCGGGUGCAUCACCGGAGAACCAUG
Myotis brandtii (Brandt's bat) is the source of this 75-nucleotide non-coding RNA. The record is from Rfam. Lineage: Eukaryota; Metazoa; Chordata; Mammalia; Chiroptera; Vespertilionidae.